This 253-nucleotide ribosomal RNA is filed under the name uncultured bacterium. Its description in RNAcentral is "partial 16S ribosomal RNA". It matches the Rfam family "Bacterial small subunit ribosomal RNA", at positions 524 to 776 of the family's 1533-position model. The record is from RNAcentral.
UACGGGGGGAGCUAGCGUUAUUCGGAAUUACUGGGCGUAAAGCGCACGUAGGCGGCUUUGUAAGUAAGAGGUGAAAGCCCAGAGCUCAACUCUGGAAUUGCCUUUUAGACUGCAUCGCUUGAAUCAUGGAGAGGUCAGUGGAAUUCCGAGUGUAGAGGUGAAAUUCGUAGAUAUUCGGAAGAACACCAGUGGCGAAGGCGGCUGACUGGACAUGUAUUGACGCUGAGGUGCGAAAGCGUGGGGAGCAAACAGG